GACGAACGCUGGCGGCGUGCUUAACACAUGCAAGUCGAACGGAAAGGCCCGGCUUUGGUGGGGUGCUCGAGUGGCGAACGGGUGAGUAACACGUGAGUAACCUGCCCUUGACUUUGGGAUAACUUCAGGAAACUGGGGCUAAUACCGGAUAGGAGCUCCUGCUGCAUGGUGGGGGUUGGAAAGUUUCGGCGGUUGGGGCUGGACUCGGGGCUUAUCAGCUUGUUGGUGGGGUAGGGGCUUACCAAGGCUUUGACGGGUAGCCGGCCUGAGAGGGUGAACAGCCACAAUGGGACUGAGGGACGGCGCAGACUCCUACGGGGGGCAGCAGUGGGGAAUAUUGUACAGUGGUGGGAAGCCUGAUGAAGCAGCGCCGCGGGCGGGAUGAAGGCCUUCGGGUUGUAAACCGCUUUAGCCUGUGACGAAGCGGGAGUGACGGUAAUGGGUAAAGAAGCACCGGCUAACUACGUG
This 468-nucleotide ribosomal RNA is filed under the name uncultured bacterium. RNAcentral describes it as "partial 16S ribosomal RNA". It matches the Rfam family "Bacterial small subunit ribosomal RNA", at positions 28 to 507 of the family's 1533-position model. The record is from RNAcentral.